UGGAGAGGUUAUGGAGAAAAGGGAACCCUAGUGCACUGCUGGUGGGAAUAUAGACUGGUGCAGCCACUGUGGAAAACAGUAUGGUAUUCCUUCAAAAUAUAAGAAUGGAAUUGCCUUUUUACCCAUCAAUUCCACUGCUGGGAUUAUACCCUAAGAAUCCUGAAACACCAAU
Long non-coding RNA from Phyllostomus discolor (pale spear-nosed bat), 172 nucleotides. RefSeq lists it as uncharacterized. The record is from RefSeq and is a predicted model, not a curated record. The transcript is spliced from 2 exons. Lineage: Eukaryota; Metazoa; Chordata; Mammalia; Chiroptera; Phyllostomidae.